Molecule: ribosomal RNA, 254 nt
Filed under: uncultured bacterium
Lineage: Bacteria
Description: partial 16S ribosomal RNA
Rfam family: Bacterial small subunit ribosomal RNA
Source: RNAcentral
UACGGGGGGAGCAAGCGUUGUUCGGAUUUACUGGGCGUAAAGGGCGCGUAGGCGGUCAGCACAAGUCAGUUGUGAAAUCUCCGGGCUUAACUCGGAAAGGUCAACUGAUACUGUGCGACUAGAGUGCAGAAGGGGCAACUGGAAUUCUCGGUGUAGCGGUGAAAUGCGUAGAUAUCGAGAGGAACACCUGCGGCGAAGGCGGGUUGCUGGGCUGACACUGACGCUCAUGCACGAAAGCGUGGGGAGCAAACAGG